This 74-nucleotide transfer RNA is filed under the name Trichonephila clavata. RNAcentral describes it as "tRNA-Thr". It matches the Rfam family "tRNA". Rfam says of the family: Transfer RNA (tRNA) molecules are approximately 80 nucleotides in length. Their secondary structure includes four short double-helical elements and three loops (D, anti-codon, and T loops). Further hydrogen bonds mediate the characteristic L-shaped molecular structure. tRNAs have two regions of fundamental functional importance: the anti-codon, which is responsible for specific mRNA codon recognition, and the 3' end, to which the tRNAs corresponding amino acid is attached (by aminoacyl-tRNA synthetases). tRNAs cope with the degeneracy of the genetic code in two manners: having more than one tRNA (with a specific anti-codon) for a particular amino acid; and 'wobble' base-pairing, i.e. permitting non-standard base-pairing at the 3rd anti-codon position. The record is from RNAcentral. Lineage: Eukaryota; Metazoa; Arthropoda; Arachnida; Araneae; Nephilidae.
CCACCUUGUAUAGUGGUUAUGGCACUCGGCUUGUAAUCGAGUGGCUCGGGUUUGAAUCCCGAAUAAGGUAUGGA